UAGGUGAUCCCUGCUGGCUCAGGUGUUU
RNAcentral lists this non-coding RNA (28 nucleotides) under Homo sapiens (human). The record is from RNAcentral. Lineage: Eukaryota; Metazoa; Chordata; Mammalia; Primates; Hominidae.